AUUUAAAUAGCUUAAUUAAAGCGAAGGAUUGUAAAUCCUAUGUUGGUUUAAUACCUUUCACCC
Molecule: transfer RNA, 63 nt
Filed under: Euhadra herklotsi
Lineage: Eukaryota; Metazoa; Mollusca; Gastropoda; Stylommatophora; Camaenidae
Description: tranfer RNA-Tyr
Source: RNAcentral